RNAcentral lists this small RNA (86 nucleotides) under uncultured Bacteroides sp. RNAcentral's name for it is "Bacteroides-1 RNA". It matches the Rfam family "Bacteroides-1 RNA". The record is from RNAcentral. Lineage: Bacteria; Pseudomonadati; Bacteroidota; Bacteroidia; Bacteroidales; Bacteroidaceae.
AUGCAAAUCAACCUGAUGUACUUUGUGAGUAUGUGAAUAUACACAAAAGUAAUAUCCUAAUGCCUCCCCGGCAUGGACAGGUAAGA